RNAcentral lists this ribosomal RNA (483 nucleotides) under uncultured Sphingobacteriales bacterium. RNAcentral describes it as "bacterial SSU rRNA". It matches the Rfam family "Bacterial small subunit ribosomal RNA", at positions 897 to 1382 of the family's 1533-position model. The record is from RNAcentral. Lineage: Bacteria; Pseudomonadati; Bacteroidota; Sphingobacteriia; Sphingobacteriales.
AAACUUAAAGGAAUUGACGGGGCCCGCACAAGCGGAGGAACAUGUGGUUAAUUCGAUGAUACGCGAGGAACCUUACCUGGGCUUAAAUGUAGAGUGCAUGAGGUAGAAAUACUUCUUUUCUUCGGAACUCUCUGCAAGGUGCUGCAUGGUUGUCGUCAGCUCGUGCCGUGAGGUGUCGGGUUAAGUCCCAUAACGAGCGCAACCCUUAUCGUUAGUUGCCAGCGGGUAAUGCCGGGGACUCUAGCGAAACUGCCGGUGUAAACCGAGAGGAAGGUGGGGAUGACGUCAAAUCAGCACGGCCCUUAUGUCCAGGGCUACACACGUGUUACAAUGGCCGGUACAGAGGGCAGCUACCUGGAGACAGGAUGCGAAUCUCGAAAGCCGGUCUCAGUUCGGAUCGGAGUCUGCAACUCGACUCCGUGGAGCUGGAUUCGCUAGUAAUCGCGCAUCAGCCAUGGCGCGGUGAAUACGUUCCCGGGCCUU